AGGAAGUAAAAGUCGUAACAAGGUUUCCGUAGGUGAACCUGCGGAAGGAUCAUUAUUGAAUGAACAUAGAGUCGGUUGUAGCUGGCCUGCAAAGGCAUCGUGCACGCCUUCUCUUUCAUCCACACACCCCUGUGCACUUGUGAGACGGAGGCUUAUUUCUCCCUUAACGGGAGAUUGGUUUCCGUCUGCUACUACACAAACUCAUAUAUUUUUAAUCUGAAUGUAAUUGAUGUAAACACAUCUAUAUACAAAGUUUCAACAACGGAUCUCUUGGCUCUCGCAUCGAUGAAGAACGCAGCGAAAUGCGAUAAGUAAUGUGAAUUGCAGAAUUCAGUGAAUCAUCGAAUCUUUGAACGCACCUUGCGCUCCUUGGUAUUCCUUGGAGCAUGCCUGUUUGAGUAUCAUGAAAUUCUCAAAGUAAAUCUUUUGUUAAUUCAAUGGACUUUGCUUUGGACUUGGAGGUCUGCAGAUUCACAGUCUGCUCCUCUUAAAUGCAUUAGCUGGAUCUCAGUGAGCUUGGUUCCACUCGGCGUGAUAAGUAUCACUCGCUGAGGACACCCGUAAAAAAGGUGGCCAGGGUUGCAGGUGAACCGCUUCUAAUGGUCUAUUGGUUUAGACAAUAAAUUUAAUGAUCUGAUCUCAAAUCAGGUAGGACU
This 656-nucleotide ribosomal RNA is filed under the name uncultured Ceratobasidium. RNAcentral's name for it is "eukaryotic LSU rRNA". The stretch from base 251 to 404 matches the Rfam family "5.8S ribosomal RNA". Lineage: Eukaryota; Fungi; Basidiomycota; Agaricomycetes; Cantharellales; Ceratobasidiaceae. The record is from RNAcentral.